Phodopus roborovskii (desert hamster) is the source of this 103-nucleotide small nuclear RNA. The record is from RefSeq and is a predicted model, not a curated record. Lineage: Eukaryota; Metazoa; Chordata; Mammalia; Rodentia; Cricetidae.
GUGCUAGCUUUGGCAGCACAACUGUGUUGCAACAACACAUCGAAUAUUAGCAUAGCUCCUGUGCAAAGAUGACACACAAAUUUAUGAUGCAUUUCAUAUUUAA